Molecule: long non-coding RNA, 2439 nt
Organism: Brassica rapa (field mustard)
Lineage: Eukaryota; Viridiplantae; Streptophyta; Magnoliopsida; Brassicales; Brassicaceae
Source: RefSeq, a predicted model, not a curated record
AAAAACUAACAUUUAAUAUCUAUAAACUAAAUCAAAUAUUUUUCUUAUCUUAGAAUAAAUAAGAAAACUUUUGUAAAUUAAUAUCUCCAUAAAAUAAUAAAAUUUUAAAAUUCCAAUAUUAUUAAUUUAUAGAGGUUCUACUGUAAUAUCAAAACUGAAUAUCACAUUUUACGUGGUUAUCAAUCAACCAAAUACCAUACUAUUAUAAAUCUCUUAAUUUUGUAACAUAAUGUAUUGUGUAUUAUACUUUAGUGUUCAAACCCCAUAUACCCUAAACCUAAAUCUUACAUGUUUUGCAAACCUAAACCCUACACAACAAACCCUAAAUAGGUAAUAUGAUAGUGAAUCAUAGUAUAAAUAAUCAUAUAUGGAACUAAUGUAUGAUUUUGAAAUCAUAAUAUGGAAUUGGAAAACCAACUAGACGAUCGAACAAAAUUGUAUAUCCAAACCGUAUAUGUCACAUAAACCUUAUAUGUAACUUAACCACUAAACCGUUCUAAAUCAUAUGAAUAUAUUUAGAUUAUACAUCAAAUUUUAUGAUAUGAUUUUAAACAAAAUAAUUGACAUCUUAAUAAUUUAGAGAGUUUUGAUAUGAUUUAGAAUGAACCGAAAUUUAAUGUGUGGUAGUUAAAAAUGGCUUACUUAAUCUAAUUUUGCAUUAGCUAUAAAGAGCCUAAUCCUAUGUGGAAUUGAAUCGCAUUUGACUUAUCAAUAUAUGUCACCUUUAUCAUGUCACAUUUUAUAACUAAUCAAAUUAGAACAUUUUCAUUUAAUCAUGUUCUCAGUAAAUUUACUGAAUUCAAAUUUAUUAUAGUAGAUUUUAUCUAACAAUAUUAAAAGGCCGAUAUCCUGAGUGCUCAGCGUGUCCACGUCUGCCAAAAAAAUCAUCCAAUCAAACGAUUUCAUUUUGACACGUCAUACCACGUUAAUAUAUUUUGUGUGAUCACCUUUCAAAUGGGCUGUUUAUAUUUUUUAAAAAGCCCAUAUCAGUUCAUAUUCACCAAAUCUAUUUCGUAUGAAAGCGUAGUCGACCCUUCUCCUUCAUUUAUUCGAUGAAGUUCUGUAACGACCCCUUUCUUCAACAAUCAAUAAAUUUCUUUAAUCCCCUCUUAAUGAAUUCGUUUCACCUAGCAUAUAACUCUUCAGAUUCACUCAGGUUCUCAAUAUAUAACUUCCUCUCCGCUUCUCUGAUCACUUAUUCCACCCACAUCCAAACAAAUCUCAGCGCAUCGAUAGCUUCAAAAAUCCUCAAUGAUGGUGCCGUUAGUCAACUCAUCUUCGCAUUAAAACCACUCUCCUCCGAUCUCUCUCUCGUCUUUUACCUUCUUCUCUGGCGACUUUCAUACACCUUCGAAUCUGAAUGAGUUUUGUAGUGGAGGAGUGAGGACUGAGUUUGCUUCCAGUCCUUGCUACGAACGACUAAAAGAUUGUUGCUAUAUAAAAUUUUCAAAAGUUAUAACAUACAUAAAAUAAAGCCACUUUGCUUCACCAGAAAGACGACCGACAUGCUUAAAUUACUCUUAUUAUUAUUUUUGAUAUCUUUAGCAUCUGGUCCCUUAAUUUUUGGUUUGUGAGCUGCCUUUGAACUUAGAUGUACAAGUUAAUCAAAGAGGUUUGUGAUGGACUUUUGAUAAUGUUUGGCGAGCUGUUCUUUGAGUACAUGUUAUACUUCUUCUUGCUUGCAUUUUGAUUUUUCCUGACACUAAUUCAUGGAACUUAUCUGUGUAUCUCAUUCUAUUUGAUCAGGAAUGAAAAUAUUUUACCUGCUUAUGAAGGGUUGGCAAAAAAAAUUUUUUGUUGUAGAUGAUAUCAGAAAUUGGAACUUUCAAGCCUUUCAAAGCAAUCCUUACAUGCAUCAAACGUGAUCUUAAGCCAGCGGGGAGGUUAAUUCAGUGACCCAUAUGUUUCGUUUAAGUCCACGUUUAUUGAGUAUGUUGUUAUACACUGGUAGAGCCAAAGAGAGCACCUGAAGUACUUCUACAGUCCUAUCUAUGCACAUUAGAAGUUGGUUAGUAUCAAAUUUUUGUACUCCAUCAGGUGCAUUUACUAUCAGACACCAUCUGCGGAGGCUCUGUAACACCCCUUCUUUCAGGUUCUGAUUAGAGAAAAGUCUUUCUCAAGGUCAUAAGCUCUUUUGGGCGAUGGAUAUUUCAUAGUUUUGAUUUUUUGUUUUUCAAAUUUUUGGUGUCUCUAGCGGGCUCCACUGACUAAUUUCUUAACAGAAUUCAGUCCCAAUGUGCCCGGAAAUAUUUCCCUUGAAACGAGCAUACCAGUGGGAUUUGGUGUUGUAGUCAGAUUUUUCUAAUACUUUAAGUUGACUAUCGGAAUGAGCUAGAGCAGAGUGAUACUUAAAGUUGAAAAUAUAUUUGCUUUGAUAAGUUUUUUUUCUGUGCAGUUACAAUUAAAAAAAAAUGUUUCCUGAGUAAAUUUGAUUUAUUA